UACCUGGUUGAUCCUGCCAGUAGUCAUAUGCUUGUCUCAAAGAUUAAGCCAUGCAUGUGCAAGUAUGAACCAAUUUGAACUGUGAAACUGCGAAUGGCUCAUU
Molecule: non-coding RNA, 103 nt
Organism: Triticum aestivum (bread wheat)
Lineage: Eukaryota; Viridiplantae; Streptophyta; Magnoliopsida; Poales; Poaceae
Source: Rfam